This 299-nucleotide long non-coding RNA is filed under the name Ananas comosus (pineapple). RNAcentral describes it as "long non-coding RNA (ACOM_LNC042998)". Lineage: Eukaryota; Viridiplantae; Streptophyta; Magnoliopsida; Poales; Bromeliaceae. The record is from RNAcentral.
GAUAUUUCAUGCAUUGUUUGCAUUUGAUGGCAUAGUAUAGGAUAGACGCAGUUUCAUUUCUAUAUAUAUCUAUCUAUCUAUCUGUGCCAGCUUUGACCUAGUGGGAACAUCGGCGGAGUCGGCGGCCGUACCCACUGGGAACUAUAUUUAUAUAGUUCUCACCCCAUCUUGUUGCAGGGCCGAGUGCGAGCGUUCCGGGGGAGGAUCGCGGUAAGGGCGUAGCGCCCUGGCUAGCUAGUUGUGGCUUUCCUUUUGUACUAGAGUACCCUCGUGUACAUAGGUGACAUGGUUGUAUUUUG